GAUGAACGCUGACAGAAUGCUUAACACAUGCAAGUCAACUGUGGAGGACGGGUGAGUAACGCGUAAAGAACUUGCCUACCAGAUAGGGACAACAUUUGGAAACGAAUGCUAAUACAUGAUACUGUGAGAGAGGUUUGCUUCCCAUUAGCUAGAUGGCGAGGUUACGGCUCACCAAGGCGAUGAUGGGUAGCCGGCCUGAGAGGGUGAUCGGCCACAAGGGGACUGAGACACGGCCCUUAGUCCUACGGGAGGCAGCAGUGGGGAAUAUUGGACAAUGGACCAAAGUCUGAUCCAGCAAUUCUGUGUGCACGAUGAAGUUUUCGGAAUGUAAAGUGCUUUCAGUUUGGAAGCGGUACCAACAGAAGAAGUGACGGCUAAAUACGUGCCAGCAGCCGCGGUAAUUC
RNAcentral lists this ribosomal RNA (404 nucleotides) under uncultured bacterium. Its description in RNAcentral is "partial 16S ribosomal RNA". It matches the Rfam family "Bacterial small subunit ribosomal RNA", at positions 28 to 526 of the family's 1533-position model. The record is from RNAcentral.